Long non-coding RNA from Panicum virgatum (switchgrass), 2767 nucleotides. RefSeq lists it as uncharacterized. The transcript has 4 exons. NCBI's taxonomy places the organism in Eukaryota, Viridiplantae, Streptophyta, Magnoliopsida, Poales, Poaceae. The record is from RefSeq and is a predicted model, not a curated record.
CUCCCUGCCCAGCCCAGACCUCGCUGUCGUCCUCUCCUCCCCAAUAGCCGCCUCGAUGUCUAGAGAAGAGCGCGCCGCCCACACCUUCCGCGGCAACGCCACCGGAACCACACCCCUCUAGAACCUCCGGCGGGAAGCCCCACUUCGCCGGCCGGCCGCCUCGCCUCCCCGCCUCCCGCGCGCGGCCUCCCGGGGCAUGGAGGCCUCGAUCGAUCGGCGCCCGACCAAUUUGCCGCGUCGCUUUGCGGCCGCGGUGCGGACCGGAGCGCGCGAUGCGAGAGUGGACGGGGAACUGCGGCGAGCGGCGAAUGCGGAGCUCGACCCGUCUCUCGCUCCCCCUCCGCCAGUCUGCCUUCCGCCGCGCACGGGAAAACGCGGUUCGCGGACGCCGCGAAUUGGAAGCCUCGGCGGGCUUGUCGUUCAGCACGCCGCGCGCGUCGAAAUGAUCGCGUGGGCCUGUAGCCGCGGCUAGGGGCCGGAGUGCGUCGAACGCGGCGGGCGGCGACGCUCGGUCCCUUGCCCUCCAGGCUGCGUACGGAUCGGCGACCGGCGGGCGGCGGCCAGAGGAAAUCAGGAGAAAGUAGAGCUUCUCCAGGCUUUCAAGAUAGAACCUGACCUGAGGUGAAGCAGGAGAUAUGGCAGGAUCAACUCUGAGCAUUUAAAUUCACAGCUCGAUGGAAUCUUGUUGGGUCAACUUUGCUGUAAGAUACUACUGUUUUGAAAUGGAAGCUUCUGGCACUGCUUUGCAUCCCAUGUGGUGCCUAAUGUUAUCUGGUGUGAUCUGAAUCAGUGCUCUUUCUGUCACAGCUUAUAUGGAACUUUCUUGCUGUGAUGAACUUGUUUACAUGAUGAUUAUGAUGAGUACCAAGCUUACAUGCGGCUUUGAGGUAUUCAGAUCUCUUACUGCUAUGGCAACUAUUAUGGAUAGAUGAAGGCAUUUUACCUUGCUUGAACAUCUACAGAUCAAGUACCAGAAUUGGUCUAUGCUUUGCUAAGAACAAAUCAAGUCCAUGAUCAUACUAUCAGUAACUGUACGCUUAUCAUCUCUCCUAAGUCUGCAAUCAAACUAUAUAUGGUCUGCAGUCAUAUGAUAUUUGUGUUUAAGUUUUUUCUUUGUUUGCAUGCAUGAAUUAUUGCUAGCUUGCCUGCAAGACCAAAAUGUAGACAUUGACCAAAUUCAAGUUGUCUAAAGCCUGCAAGAGCAAUACACGAUAGGUAGAGAUCAAGAUGUAGCCAAUGAUGGACAUGCCAAGCAAUUGGUACUGUCUGUAUUUCCUCUUCAUGAUGAGGUGCUGGCAAGCCAUUCUUGGCUGCAUCGCACUCUCUGCCCCGUUGUGCAUGGCCCUUGCUACACUCUUUCAUUAUGCUUUUCUUUAGUAAUUUUGCUAGGUCCUUAUGGUGUAUACAUAGAUAACUAUAUUUAUAGGAAGCACUGCAAGUUCAUCUGGAACGGUUCUGGAACCUCCUUUUGUCAUAAAGUUUGAAAUUAUUGGCAUAAACUUUUUCUUAUUGGACUGAUGGUUCUAGAGCCUUUCCAUUAGUUGAGGCUUUUCUUGAUUUCCAUUUUCUAACAAGAUUUGUGGACCAAGAAGUUGGCACCUAUGGAUUUGCUUUGUCAGGCUGGUUGAGUGAAGCAUCAUCUAUUCAUUGGUUUUUGUUUUGGCCUUUCUGAGGUGGCAUCCCGUGUCAAUUGCGAGUCACAAUUUUUGACUGAAAGGUGGAGCCUCGCAUCUUCCCCAUUAGAUUAAAGAAAAAGAGGUUUUGACUGGAUAGCAUGUAUCAUCACAAAAGAUGGGAUCAUGGGACCCGUGCUUCUGACAACAAAGAUGACUCAUGUAGCUCAUGAGUCACGACUAGUUACUUUUGCUUGUUCAUGGUGCUUAGUGCCUUUAUUUAUCACAUGAUAUUGUGAAGCUGCUCUUGAUACAAUGAUCCUUUGGUGGCUCUGGUCCUUAUUUAGAUUAUUGGUCUUACUGCUUUCCCUGCACAUAUUCAGUAAAUCCUGGCCUUCAGAUUUUUCAGGAUUAGUGACAGCCUUGUUCAAAAGCUAAAUCACACCUGCAAGCACAAGCGAGGCAUCCACUUUGACAUAUGAAGCUAAAAAUGGGCAUUGCAUUUCAGUCUGCUAGCUGUUGCUAGGUUCUCUAUCACUGUACUUUGCAUGUGUUUUGGCAUAUGAAAGCUUCAGUACCAGUGCCCAUCACUGUAUGGAUAUCAUGAGCAGAACCAGGAAAAUGGACGAAAUUAUCUGAUCUCUGAGGCCUGAAAGUCUAUCAAAAUUUUAGUGUGAAUUUAUUUCAAUUAUGGCAGAUGCUAUGGUAUGUUGGGCAGGAUACCUUAAUUUAAGCAAACCAUAUAUAUUUAAUUUCUCCAAUGAUUGUAAAGUUCUUGAUUUAAUUCCAAAUUGUUAGGUCUACUAAGCGUUUCUCUUCAUCUGCCACUGUAUCUGUUUUCUUCCUGAUUGGGAAUACUCAAGAGUUAAUAUGCACUAUAUUUAUUCUGAGGUCUAACAAUGUUAUAUUGGUAACCUUUGCAAUGUGCUUUUGCAGGCAAUCUUCUGAGAGUGUUUUUUUAUAAAAAGAAUAAAGUGCAAUCUUCAGGCGUCUGUCAUGUAAAAUGUGCGUUUUUUUUUAAAGAAUGCAAUGUGCAAUCUUCAGACGUCUGUUAUAUAAAAUGUAACUUCAGUAGAACAUGCCAGUGCGAAGAUGCCAUUGGUAAGUCUACUAAUGUGAGAGUGGGAGCAUCUUGACCUAACUUUUAGAGACAA